GAAGCAGAUGUCCGAGGCUGGAAUAAAGUAUAUCCCCAGCAACACUUUUUCAUACUAUGACCAGGUUCUUGAUACCACGGCUAUGCUCGGUGCUGUACCUGCAAGGUAUGGUUGGAAUGGUGGUGAGAUUGGAUUUGACACCUUCUUUUCAAUGGCUAGAGGAAAUGCUACUCUCCCUGCAAUGGAGAUGACCAAGUGGUUUGAUACCAACUAGUAAGUAACAUUUAUUAAGCAAUUUCCAGGCUUGAUUUUUUUUUUUUUGCAUUCGGCCUAUUUGUUUUUAUACUGUAUUAAUUCAAUGACUGACAUUUGAGUGAUUGUUUCCAGUCAUUUCAUUGUUCCUGAAUUGGGUCCAGAUACUUCAUUCUCGUAUUCUUCUCACAAAGCUGUCUCUGAAUACAAGGAGGCAAAGGAGGUAUUUGAUAUUAUCUGAUUAUACAUUCAUUAUUUACAUAGUUUUUUAAUACAUUGUCGAUUUCUUACCUUUUUCUUCUUCCUAUUAUGUAGCUUGGCAUUGAUACAGUUCCAGUGCUUGUUGGUCCUGUUUCCUACUUGCUUCUUUCAAAGCCUGCUAAGGGAGUGGAGAAGUCCUUCUCUCCACUUUCUCUUUUGGAAAAUGUUCUCCCUGUUUACAAGUAAUCCAAAUUUCUUAUCCUCAUUUUUUGAUAUAGAUUAUCUAUUUCUCCUUUUUCCCUUCAUCUGUUGUCAUAUUAAGUAAAUAUUACCCUUGCUAUAUUCAGGGAAGUUAUCAGCGAGUUGAAAGCUGCUGGUGCCACAUGGAUUCAGUUUGAUGAACCCACACUUAUUAAGGAUCUUGAUUCUGAACAGCUUGAUGCCUUUACCAAGGCGUAUGCUGGCCUUGAAUCGUCUUGUGCUGGUUUGAAUGUGCUUAUCGAGACAUACUUCGCUGAUGUUACCCCUGAGGUUUUCAAGUAAGUUAAUCGUCUCUUGAAGUUCUUUUGCAGGAUUUUGUUUUCCAUAUAUGUAAUCUAUUUUUUCCCAUCAACAGAACUCUCACCUCCUUAAAAGGUGUCACAGCUUAUGGUUUUGAUCUUAAUCGUGGAGCUAAGACGUUGGAUUUGAUCAAGAGUGAUUUCCCAGCUGACAAAUACCUUUUUGCUGGAAUUGUUGAUGGUAGGAAUAUCUGGGCUAACAAUCUAGCAUCAUCUAUGACCACUCUUUCCUCCCUUGAGAGUAUCGUUGGUAAAGGUAUGUUUUUUAUACUUAAAUAUGUAACUUCUGACUAAUUUACACCAUUAAAUAAUAUUAGAAUAUACUGAUGAUGUAUUAUAUCUUUUUCUUUAUGCAGACAAGUUGGUUGUUUCAACCUCAUGCUCCCUUCUGCAUACUGCUGUUGAUUUGAUCAACGAGACAAAGCUAGACAGUGAAAUUAAGUCAUGGCUCGCUUUUGCUUCUCAGAAGAUUGUUGAGGUGAAUGCUUUAGCUAAGGCAUUGGCCGGACAGAAGGAUGAGGUUAGUCUGUCAAUCAAACAACUAUUUGUAACUUUUCUUCAUAUCUGUCUUUUCCCUAUUUCUCAAGUCAAUACUUUCUUAAAUUCAUGCAGGCUUUUUUCUCAGCAAAUGCUGCUGCUCAGGCUUCUAGGAAGUCAUCUCCAAGAGUUAACAAUCCUGAAGUUCAACAAGCUGUAAGGAUUUCAGUAUAUUUUCUUCUUUUUCCAUCUUCUUUUUUAUGUUCAAUUCCAAUUGACUUCUUAUUCCUACCUUGAUAUUUUUUAGGCUUCUGCUCUGAGGGGAUCUGACCACCGACGUUCCACUGAUGUUAGUUCCAGAUUGGAUGCACAACAGAAGAAGCUUAAUCUUCCAAUUCUUCCUACCACAACCAUCGGAUCAUUCCCCCAGACUGUUGAACUCAGGAGAACUCGCAGAGAAUACAAGGCAAAAAAGUGUGUGAUAAUAUAUAUAUAUCCCACUUCUGCAUUUUGGUUCUCUUUUUUUUAGGCUGUUCAAACUUAUUUAUAUCCUAUUUCGUACAGGAUCUCUGAGGAAGCCUAUAUCAGUGCUAUGAAGGAAGAGAUCAGCAAGGUUGUCAAAUUGCAGGAGGAACUUGAUAUUGACGUCUUGGUUCAUGGAGAACCUGAGGUUAGUGUGCUUUAUAUUUAUUUCCAAUGUUCGAGGCAAUCGUAAUUUUUUUUAAAAACACCAAUCAACCAACUGUCCUGCAUUCUGCAGAGGAACGAUAUGGUUGAGUACUUUGGAGAGCAAUUAUCCGGGUUUGCUUUCUCAGCCAAUGGUUGGGUGCAAUCUUACGGAUCACGUUGUGUGAAGCCUCCAAUCAUCUAUGGUGAUGUGAGCCGCCCCAAGGCUAUGACUGUCUUCUGGUCUUCAAUGGCACAGAGCAUGACUGCCCGUCCCAUGAAGGGAAUGUUGACUGGACCAGUCACCAUUCUCAACUGGUCUUUUGUCAGAGAUGACCAGCCUAGGUUCGAGACAUGCUACCAGAUUGCUCUCUCUAUCAAGAAGGAAGUUGAAGAUCUUGAAGCGGCUGGCAUUAAUGUAAGUUUUUUUAACUCAAUUUCGCAUCUAUUUUAGAUUUUAAAUACUUUUGUUUACUGUUUUCUUUCUUUCUUUCAGGUCAUCCAAAUUGAUGAAGCUGCCCUGAGGGAGGGUUGUCCUCUCCGCAAGUCGGAGGUGGCUUUCUACCUGGAAUGGGCAGUACACUCUUUCCGCAUCACCAACUGUGGUGUCAAAGACACCACUCAGAUCCACACCCACAUGUGCUACUCCAACUUCAAUGACAUUAUCCAUUCCAUCAUUAACAUGGAUGCCGAUGUGAUCACAAUUGAGAACUCUCGUUCUGAUGAGAAGCUUCUCUCAGUUUUCCGUGAAGGUGUGAAGUACGGUGCUGGAAUUGGCCCAGGUGUUUAUGACAUCCAUUCACCCAGGAUCCCAACUACCGAAGAAAUUGCUGACCGCAUCAACAAGAUGCUUGCCGUUCUUGAGACUAACAUCCUGUGGGUGAAUCCGGAUUGUGGUUUGAAGACCCGUAAGUACAGUGAGGUCAAGCCUGCACUUACCAAUGUUGUUGCUGCUGCCAAGAAACUCCGAACUGAGUUGGCCAGCGCCAAGUGAGCAAUAGAUAUUUUCAGCCAAUCCAUCCAUAACUAUUUCGUUCCUUCCGAAUUGUCCUCCAUGUUUUUUAGCAAUAAAUAAUUACGAUGAGUGUUUGUUAGCCUCUCUCUUUUAAUAGGUCUGUGUUUGUUCUUUUUUAUCUUUUUAUAAAUCGUCAGCGGUUAUUGUUGCCACGGUGAUGAAUAUAUCAAUCUACCAUGUUAUGACUAUGAAAUCAAAUCAUUUUAUUUUAUUUUGAGACGGUCAGACGGAAGAUUGUUUAUCGAAUAUAUAUAAUCCAAAAGUGAAAGUCAAACAUAGCGGCUUGUGGGAUGUCGCUGCGUUGCACGUGUUUAAAAUAUUUAUACAAAAAUGGCCCCAAUAAAUUUUUGACCGAAUAAUUGAAUUGUACGGAAUUAUUUUAUACGGAAAAUUGAACAUUUCAAAGCAAUUGAUCAAAUGAAUCGAUACAACUCUAAAAGAAGUAUAACCAGAAUCAAUUCACCUGAGAUGAAGUCAGGUCCGACGAUUUAAACGACCACGGAUACCAAAAGACAUUACAGAUUAUUUAUCACAUUUAAUAGUCGAAGCACUCAUAAAUCAUAAUACGAUCCCUGACAGACAUUACAGAUUUACAGCUAAGCCAGUUAUCUUCGGUAGACAGAACUUGAGCCGCGUCUUCUCCCAAAUCCAUUCAAGCUAGGGUUUCUUUUACUUCUUUCUCUGCUAAAUGUUGAAUGUCCUUCGAGAUGGAUGAUAAUCAAUGAAGAAUGUAUCAGAGGUCUUUAGAUCAUCAAACCGGAGACUCACUUCAUCCUUGUUGGGGUUUGACUUCCAAAUUAUGUUUCAACUAAUAUGGUGGCUGAUGCUUUAUCAAGAUCAUUUGAAAAAGGAGAAGAUGUUAUUUUCUCACAAUCCUCUAAAGUAUGUCCAGGUUUUUUUUUGGCACUAUCAAUUCCUAUAUAUAUACCUUGAUUAAUAAAAUUAGACAGAAAAAUAUGGACUCUACAACAAUUAAUUCAGUAAAUUAAAAACAAAUCCAAGUCAUUGGUGGGUUUCUCAGUUCAGAGGGAUUAAUCAAAUUAAUGGGUAAGAUCUAUUUACCUAAGGAUUUUGAAAUCAAGAAGAAGAUCAUAAAGGAAUAUCACUCAUCAUUGAUAGGUGGACAUUCUGGAAUCAAAGGUACAAUGAAGAGAAUAAAUCUGCAAUUCUGGUGGGAAGGUAUAACAAAAAAUAUUAAAGAAUUUGUUCAAAGUUGUGUAGUUUACCAGCAGAUGAAACCAAUAAACCAGAAGAAGGUAGGGUUGCUUAUGCCUUUGCCUAUAUUUAACAUGGUUUGGAAGGACAUAACAAUGAAUUUCAUUAUUGAGUUGCCACAAGUUUAAGGGAAGUCAAUGAUUAUAGUGGUAGUGGAUAAACUGUCUAAAUAUGCUCACUUUGGGGCACUACCUGCAAAUUUUAAUGCAACCAUGGUAUCUGAAUUAUUUAAUUCAAUGGUUAUAAAACUACAUGGUGUCCAGAAUCAAUUGUAUCUGAUAAGGAUUAGAUAUUCACAUCCAAGUUUGGGAAUGAGCUACAUGCCAAGAGUGGAACUAAGCUACACUAUUCCACUGCAUUUCACCCUGAAAGUGUUUGCCAAUCUGAAGUUGUUAACAAAACUUUAAAGAUGUUUUUGAGGUGCUUUUGUCACGAUGAUCCUAAAAAGUGGCUGAGCUUAUUACCAUGGGUUGAAUUAUGGUAUAACACUAACUACCAUUCUUCAAUGAAAACACCAUUCAAUGUGUUGUACGUAUGGUAGAGACCCCCCCUGGAAUUAUACAAUGCAAUCCAGGUGAUUCAGUUAUUGAUGCAGUAGAUCUAACUAUGCAAGUAAGAGAAGAGGCUUUGAAAUAUAUUAAAUCAAAUUUACAGAAGUGUCAAGAGGUCAUGAAAUUAAAGACAGGCACAAAAAGAAAAGAUAUCGAAUUUAAAGUGGGAGAUUGGAUUUGGGUGAAAUUAAAACCAUACAAAUAAUCUAUUGUGACUUGCAGACUGAACAACAAAUUAUGCAAAAGAUAUUUCAGACCUUACCGAAUCACCAAGAAAAUUAGUGUUGUGGUACUACCUCCAGGAAGUCGGAUCCACAAUACAUUCCAUAUUUCGAAACUGAAGGCUUAUAAAGGAGUAUUACCACCACCUGAAGAAAAUAGCCCAAUUCUAGCAAUUGAUAACCAGCCGAUUUUGUACCCAAUAGCAUUAAUUGAUUUCAAGAAGAUUUACCUCAAUGGGAAGCAGACAUAUCAAGUACUGGUGCACUGGAGCGGAUCUACACUUGAAGACGCAUCUUGGGAGAAUUUAGAAGACUCGAAGAAUAUGUUUCUUGUUAUCGUCAAUGAGGACAUGACGAUUAUGGAAGGAGAGGAGCAUGAUACGAUCCGACCUGACACUACAACUAUCGUGCGAGAAGUACUUUGGACAAUUGAAAAAGAGGGAAUGGAUGCAGUAAACCUAAUCGGGUGUCUAGGGCUCCGAAGUGAUUUGGGGAUUUCACAUCUGAUUUCUGAGGCGGAAGGCUUUGAGCUGGGCCGACAACUUAAAAGUUUAUUUAAUUAAGAAAUUUCUUUAAUUAUUGUUGGAUCGGAGUAAACCGUUUUAUAGUUUGUUUAAUUGUAUUUUUUUUUUUUUUUUUUUGAAACAAAUAAAUUUAGUUUACAAAAAAUAGAAUAUAGAAAAUUAGAAAUAUUUGUCGAGUGGC
This 5803-nucleotide long non-coding RNA is filed under the name Zostera marina. Its description in RNAcentral is "long non-coding RNA (ZMAR_LNC000159)". Lineage: Eukaryota; Viridiplantae; Streptophyta; Magnoliopsida; Alismatales; Zosteraceae. The record is from RNAcentral.